CUGCAUUACUUGUUACAUCAUUAGGUAAUUGCAGAGACCGGAACUGGCCAAGCCUAUCCAUCAGAUCUUGUGAAGAAACGAUGGAUGGCUUUGGAAUAUCAAUGGAGGAUGUUGAUACCACAUUCAUGGUGCAUGGAAUAAUGCCCAACCUCACGGAGUUUUCCUUUACGCCUUUGGGAACGAGCUUCAGGGGUUGUAUAUGCCCAAGGACCUCUUCUCUUGCCACGACGUCUACCUGUACCUGUGCGAACUAUGCCAUUGAGGCCAGUACUUCUGACACCAACACCAACUUUUGUUGCCUCAUUAGGCUCUGGAACAAUUGUUCAAUACUACCAUGAUCUGGAUACAUUUCAAAGUGUCGGGACAUUCGGUUGUAUCCAAGGUAUAUUUUCUGACACGUUGGACAUCGGAAAUGUGAUGAGAUUUUGCGUUUUGGUACUGCCAGUCCUGUGUAAAAUGAGUAUGGUGAAAUGAAUCAGGUAAUGAAAUUUAAAAUUUCUGAAUGUGUACAAUACUUGAAACUGUAAAGUUUAGAACUCAUCAUUGCCAAUCUAAUUUCAUGCAUGCAGUAUAGGUUCGUGUGAGCAUAAAACUUAAAAUACCUACUCACAGUGACAGCUUGUAACUAAACUGAUAUAGUAAACAAUGUCAGCAUUGUAUAAAUUCAAUAUCUGAACCAUUUUUAAAUAAUGAAAAUAGUUUAACUGCAAGGAUUAUGCAAUAAUGUGGUGUGGAAGACAGAAAUUAUGGUCUGUUUUAUGGUAUUAAUCCUAAUAUCGCUCAAAGAAUGAGAAAAACAUUAAGUGCUGUAUUUAUAAUUCUGCUUAUUCCAUAAAAUUAUUGGUUACCUGUACUAGCAUAUCACGUGUUGCAUCUUUGGGACACUUCAUUUUAUCCUGUCUUCAUGUUAUACACUACAGGUUCGUGAAAUAUCAUUAAAGAAUAUUAAAAUUACUCCCUCCAGCUUUGGAACAUUUUAAGAAAUAUUAGCAGUAGUACACCUUAAAUGCAUGUUCAGAAAACAAACCUAAUAGUGUUUGUAGUUUUACGUCGUUCUGAAACAUACUACUGACAUGUAUGAAUGCUCACACUGGUUCAGGGCAUGUAUUUUAGGUAUUCAUGAUUUUAUUUUACUUAUCUUUUGAUUGUUAAGAAGUAUUUACUAGUGUAUCACAAAUGUUCAAACACUGUGCAUAGUUUCUUCAUUAUGUUACAUGCUGCAACUUAUGAACUUUCACAUGAAUUUAUUGCCUUCCUUUACCCUACAGACCACAAUGAAACCAAGUAAAAUUCUGAAUACUAAUAUAUUUGUAUAUCUGAAUUUCAGCUGAAAAACUGAAAUGUAAUCCUGAAGUAUGACAUGAACUGAACUUUAAAACAAAAAAUUGUAAAGAAAAGCAUGGAGAAAUGUUGAUGCAGCUGGCCAAAGUCAAGGCCGAGUUCCAACUGCACUAAAUCCAGGGCAAAUGUUCUGCCACUAACUCGACCCUGGACACAAACCUGGCAGCAGCUCCUUGCUGUCGGUCUUCUCUGGUGGAUCCUCAGCCUCAUGUUCACUCAUCUGGUAGUCUGAAUAGCCUCCAUCAGAAUCAUCCAUAUCGGCGUCAGCAAAGUCAAGAUGGUGCAGCCUCUUAUAGUCUUUCACCAUAUGUCUAGGUGGACGAGACAAGCGUCCAGAUCUUGUCCGUGCUAACUGUUUUUUCCGUUCACCCUGCUCAAAUUAGUAGCAUUAGAUUCUGAGAUCCAUAAACUAAUAUACUUUGGUUUAAGGAAGAAUUGUCACAGCAACGGAAGAGAUCUAUUAUUGUACCUAUUCAUAGACUAAUAAUUACCAGCUUCACACAAAACUUACCCAACAAGUGUGUGACAAGGUUAACUAGUGUGUUGCUGAGAUUACUUCGGAUCAUUGGUAUGAACUGAAUGAAACAUACCAGCAAUGGGUGUAUGCCGAUGGGAUUUUGUAAACAUGGUGAUGAACCUUCAGGUUCCAUGAAAGCAGCAAAUUUCUUGAUUAGCUGCAUAACUAUCAACUGUUCAAGGAAGACCCUAUGCCAUGGAAUUAGUUAUGUAUUAAUGCUGAAAAUUAAUUUAUUAAUUAAUCCACAAGGAGUUAUUAUACUGAAAGUCAUUUUGUGUAGAAUACAAAAGUAAUUUACUUAC
Zootermopsis nevadensis is the source of this 2160-nucleotide non-coding RNA. NCBI's taxonomy places the organism in Eukaryota, Metazoa, Arthropoda, Insecta, Blattodea, Termopsidae. The record is from RefSeq and is a predicted model, not a curated record.